UUUCCAGUAUAUUUCAGGAUAACACUGGAUAAUGGCUUUUUGAAAUUGAAAAAAAAAUUUUGGAGCAACUGUAAACAGAAAUGCCAAAUUAUUGAUGGUUAUUUUUGCUGCUUCAUAUAGGUAUAAAAUUAAUGCAUAAGGAAGCCCAUUCUUUCAUGUUAAACAUGGGGUGGAGGAGGGGAGAAAGGGAACUUUUUCUUAAAAUGACAAUAAUUACUUCUAUUUUAAAAUUUCCUGAUGAUUGAAUGUGAGGCCCUUCUAACAUGAUUUGAGAAGCUGUAAAAGUAUAGGCAAGUUAUUUUCCUGUUUAUAUUUCUUGUUUGUUUGGAGAACAAUUGGUAGGUGUCUAAUGACUGUUUACUUCAUUGUUAUAUUGCAGUAAAAGAUUUAAAACAACCAUUGUAUGUUUGCUUUUGAUGUAACCCUUUGUGAAAUUAGCACUUUGGGGGCCAAUGAAGAAAUGCAGUGUUCACUCUCUUCCUCUCUGCCUUUCCUUAGCAGAAAUGUGCUUAUUAGCAAGCUAUAAGUCAAACUGCUGCCUUUAAAGAAAAAAUUCACAAAACUGAGUUCAAAAUUAAAGCAAGUGUUCCAAAACUUGGUCUCUGAUAUUUGUAAAACUUUUUCUUCCUCUAUUAAAUAAGAAUAUGUUACCAUUAAAGUCGUUAGUAUUAUAUUGUUUUCAGAAAGACACAAUGGACAACUAUAAUCCAGCAUCUUAAUGCAUUGAAACUUUUUAGAAGGGUUGGGAAAUGUGGCUGGAAAGGUUCUUUGGAAAAUAUAUAAUCAAGGUACUUCAUGGCAUUUUAAAAAAGGAACGUCUUAAUAACAGUGUUGACCUCUAUUUGGAUAUUUUGAUCCUAGUU
This is a long non-coding RNA of Perognathus longimembris pacificus (Pacific pocket mouse), 863 nucleotides long. RefSeq lists it as uncharacterized. NCBI's taxonomy places the organism in Eukaryota, Metazoa, Chordata, Mammalia, Rodentia, Heteromyidae. The record is from RefSeq and is a predicted model, not a curated record. The transcript has 3 exons.